AUCCAGCUGACGAGUUCGAAAUAGCACGAAACGUGAGUCCUAGAU
Molecule: non-coding RNA, 45 nt
Filed under: Schistosoma mansoni
Lineage: Eukaryota; Metazoa; Platyhelminthes; Trematoda; Strigeidida; Schistosomatidae
Source: RNAcentral